RNAcentral lists this ribosomal RNA (253 nucleotides) under uncultured bacterium. Its description in RNAcentral is "partial 16S ribosomal RNA". It matches the Rfam family "Bacterial small subunit ribosomal RNA", at positions 524 to 776 of the family's 1533-position model. The record is from RNAcentral.
UACGUAGGGGGCAAGCGUUGUCCGGAAUCAUUGGGCGUAAAGAGCGUGUAGGCGGCCCGGUAAGUCCGCUGUGAAAGUCCAGGGCUCAACCCUGGGAUGCCGGUGGAUACUGUCGGGCUCGAGUCCGGAAGAGGCGAGUGGAAUUCCUGGUGUAGCGGUGGAAUGCGCAGAUAUCAGGAGGAACACCGAUGGCGAAGGCAGCUCGCUGGGACGGUACUGACGCUGAGGCGCGAAAGCGUGGGGAGCGAACAGG